UAUGUGAUCGUCUCUCGCAUAUCAAUAAGCGGAGGAAAAGAAACUAACAAGGAUUCCCCUAGUAACGGCGAGUGAAGCGGGAAGAGCUCAAAUUUGAAAUCUUAAAGGGUUUCCCUUUACGAAUUGUAGUUUAAAGAAGUGUUUUCUGUUGAGGUUUUGGUAAAAGUUCUUUGGAAUAGGACAUCAUAGAGGGUGAGAAUCCCGUAUUUGACCUUUACUUUCAACUUUGUGAUACACUUUCAAAGAGUCGGAUUGUUUGGGAAUGCAGUCCAAAAUGGGUGGUAAAUUUCAUCUAAAGCUAAAUAUUGGCGAGAGACUGAUAGCGAACAAGUACCGUGAGGGAAAGAUGAAAAGAACUUUGAAAAGAGAGUUAAACAGUACGUGAAAUUGUCAAAAGGGAAGCGUUUGACACCAGUGUUGUUUUUCUGAAAAUCAAUUAAAGAACUGUUUAUGCUAAGCUUGUUUAGACUUUAUCAGCUAUCUGCUUAGUUUUGAGCUUUUCUUUAAUGCACUUUUCAGUUAACAAGUCAACAUCAAUUUCUUUUGCUGUAAAAAAGCUUGAGGAAGGUGGCUUGAGAUUCGUCUUAAGUGUUUAUAGCCUCUUGCCUAUGCAGUCGGAGAGAUUGAGGUCUGCAGCGUAGAUCCUUCGGGGCUAAAUGCAUUUGUGCUAAGUUAUAGCAUUUUAUAGACAACUUGUUGACUAUGAUUUGUCUGUAGCUUACUCGCUUAUGUUAUUUUACCUACGCUUAGGAUGUUGAGUAGCGACAUACGCA
RNAcentral lists this ribosomal RNA (773 nucleotides) under uncultured Neocallimastigales. Its description in RNAcentral is "partial large subunit ribosomal RNA". It matches the Rfam family "Eukaryotic large subunit ribosomal RNA", at positions 24 to 648 of the family's 3401-position model. Lineage: Eukaryota; Fungi; Neocallimastigomycota; Neocallimastigomycetes; Neocallimastigales. The record is from RNAcentral.